This is a non-coding RNA of Lactobacillus sp. ASF360, 106 nucleotides long. The record is from Rfam. Lineage: Bacteria; Bacillati; Bacillota; Bacilli; Lactobacillales; Lactobacillaceae.
AAUGUCUUUAAAAUUAGUCCCGUGAGGCUAGCAAGGCAAUCAACUAAGUUGUUUUAAACUUUUAUGAAUGCUCCUAGUUUCAUGUAGACUUGGGAGCAUUUUUUGU